This 563-nucleotide ribosomal RNA is filed under the name Tetilla muricyi. Its description in RNAcentral is "eukaryotic LSU rRNA". It matches the Rfam family "Eukaryotic large subunit ribosomal RNA", at positions 209 to 544 of the family's 3401-position model. Lineage: Eukaryota; Metazoa; Porifera; Demospongiae; Tetractinellida; Tetillidae. The record is from RNAcentral.
AGGGUGAUAGCCCCGUUCGGGGCGGAGGCGCCGAGGGCACGCUACCGUCUUCCGAGAGUCGGGUUGUUUGAGAUUGCAGCCCAAAGUGGGUGGUAAACUCCAUCUAAAACCAAAUAGCGGCACGAGACCGAUAGCGAACAAGUACCGUGAGGGAAAGGUGAAAAGCACUUUGGAAAGAGAGUUAAAGAGACCGCGAAACCGUUAGGAGGGAAACGCAUGCAGCCGAACGGGCCCUCGUCGGGUUCAGGGGGUCGCCGCGAGUCUCCGCCGCGCCGGGGCACUCUUCGGAGGUCUCGCGCGGCGGUCCRUCUCGGGGCGCCUCUGCACUCCCGGCUUCGGGGCCAGUCAAGCACGGUGGUGACCCGGGCGAGGAAGGCGGGCGGRCAGGUAGCGCAGCCGGCUUCGGCCGGAGGCGAACUUAUAGCCGGUCGUCCGGAACGCUCGGGGUCCACCGAGGAGAGCGGUGGCCGUCACGGUUCCACCCCAGCAGUGCAGGCCUCCCUCGGGGGGCCGGGGCGCCUCUGUCCGUUGAGCCUCCGCGUGGAAGCACUGCCCGCAGUGCC